This 253-nucleotide ribosomal RNA is filed under the name uncultured bacterium. RNAcentral describes it as "partial 16S ribosomal RNA". It matches the Rfam family "Bacterial small subunit ribosomal RNA", at positions 524 to 776 of the family's 1533-position model. The record is from RNAcentral.
UACGUAGGGUGCAAGCGUUAAUCGGAAUUACUGGGCGUAAAGCGUGCGCAGGCGGCUUUGCAAGACAGAUGUGAAAUCCCCGGGCUCAACCUGGGAACUGCAUUUGUGACUGCAUCGCUGGAGUGCGGCAGAGGGGGAUGGAAUUCCGCGUGUAGCAGUGAAAUGCGUAGAUAUGCGGAGGAACACCGAUGGCGAAGGCAAUCCCCUGGGCCUGUACUGACGCUCAUGCACGAAAGCGUGGGGAGCAAACAGG